AAUUAAUUAAUUGCAUAAUACACAAAUACUGCAUUUACUGUUUUAUAGAGCAAAGUUACAUUUGCGCAUAAUGCGAUUUAUUAAUCGAUGAAUUAAAAAACUCGCCUUAUUUUAUCCUGAAAGAAAGAAUAUUUUCUUUUCAAAAUACAUAAAUUAUCCGGUAAGAAAUCAUCUGCAAUACAUCAACAGGAUUGGUCAUGGAAGUGUUCCUGCUGUAUAUAAGAGAAUACGUUGUGCGAACAGAAAUAAAAUUUGAUAACACAUUGUGUAAAAUUCAUAUCUUGCUCCCUUGGCUGCUGUCCACAUCUGAAGUCAAUGUACUUCAUGAGGGUUCAAUGACCUCGGUCAUCUAAACACAGGUAAGUCUUGAAACUUUAACAAUAACACAUGCAAAGUUUUAUAAAAUGAUUUUAUGUUAAAUAUAUAUGUUAAAAUUAUUAAAAUAAGAAAUUUGGUUAAGGAAACAAUUUUAGGAAUAUAUUCAAUUUGAUAUAAAGAUAUUUGUAAGCU
This is a long non-coding RNA of Pogonomyrmex barbatus (red harvester ant), 510 nucleotides long. RefSeq lists it as uncharacterized. Lineage: Eukaryota; Metazoa; Arthropoda; Insecta; Hymenoptera; Formicidae. The record is from RefSeq and is a predicted model, not a curated record.